UACGGAGGGUGCGAGCGUUAAUCGGAAUUACUGGGCGUAAAGCGCACGUAGGCGGCCUGUUAAGCUGGAUGUGAAAGCCCCGGGCUCAACCUGGGGAUUGCACCCAGAACUGGCAGGCUAGAGUACGGUAGAGGUGAGUGGAAUUUCCUGUGUAGCGGUGAAAUGCGUAGAUAUAGGAAGGAACAUCAGUGGCGAAGGCGACUCACUGGACUGAUACUGACGCUGAGGUGCGAAAGCGUGGGGAGCAAACAGGAUUACGAAACCCGGGUAGU
RNAcentral lists this ribosomal RNA (272 nucleotides) under uncultured bacterium. Its description in RNAcentral is "partial 16S ribosomal RNA". It matches the Rfam family "Bacterial small subunit ribosomal RNA", at positions 524 to 794 of the family's 1533-position model. The record is from RNAcentral.